Molecule: ribosomal RNA, 428 nt
Filed under: uncultured prokaryote
Description: bacterial SSU rRNA
Rfam family: Bacterial small subunit ribosomal RNA
Source: RNAcentral
UGGGGAAUAUUGCGCAAUGGGCGAAAGCCUGACGCAGCGACGCCUCGUGAGGGAUGAAGGUCUCCGGAUCGUAAACCUCUGUCAAGAGGGAAGAAACCUUUGGAUUCGAACAGGGUCCUUAGCUGACGGUACCUCUAAAGGAAGCACCGGCUAACUCCGUGCCAGCAGCCGCGGUAAUACGGAGGGUGCAAGCGUUAAUCGGAAUCACUGGGCGUAAAGCGCUCGUAGGCUGUUUGGUAAGUCAGGCGUGAAAGCCCGCGGCGUAACCGCGGAACUGCGUUUGAUACUGCCAGACUUGAGUGUCGGAGAGGGUGGCGGAAUUCCGGGUGUAGGAGUGAAAUCCGUAGAUAUCCGGAGGAACACCAGUGGCGAAGGCGGCCACCUGGACGACAACUGACGCUGAGGAGCGAAAGCGUGGGUAGCAAACA